AAUAAAUAGCUUCGAGCUAGAUAGCGUCAUGUAUUUGAUGUGUUUAAAAGUAAUCAUGCAUUCAUGAAUAAUUGUGUUAUGGGAAUCAUGUGAAUUCCAAUAAUUGAAGAAAAUGGACUAUGUUUAUGAAAAGUGGCCGAAGAUGGGAUUAUGUUAUCCGAGAUCUGGAGCCCAUAUCCAAACAUGAUAUAAAACUGUGUGACUCCUCUUUAUGGGAGAGAUGGUUGAUGAUAACCAUAUCCUACAUGAUAUAAAACUGUU
This 261-nucleotide long non-coding RNA is filed under the name Trifolium pratense (red clover). Its description in RNAcentral is "long non-coding RNA (TPRA_LNC009162)". Lineage: Eukaryota; Viridiplantae; Streptophyta; Magnoliopsida; Fabales; Fabaceae. The record is from RNAcentral.